Molecule: unclassified non-coding RNA, 2330 nt
Filed under: Amphibalanus amphitrite
Lineage: Eukaryota; Metazoa; Arthropoda; Thecostraca; Balanomorpha; Balanidae
Description: uncharacterized LOC122392784, transcript variant X4
Source: RNAcentral
CAAAGUCUGGAGGAGGCACCUUCAAUCAGUACUCAUUGUCAGGAAGAAGCUGAGGUUGAGACUGAGGCCUGGUGCUUGGAUGAUCAGGGUGAGAAAGGCUCUACAGCAAAAACUGAAGACAGUAGCCGGGAGAAAAUAGCACGUUUCUUGCUUCGAUUGCAAUGUGAGCAUGGGAUGUCACGGGCUGCAACAUCUUUCGUGGCUAGUGAGAUAGGAGAAAUCGUCGACACCGCUCUUAAGGAGCAGAAUGCGAGCAGAGCAUCAAAGUCGUCUUCAGUUAAGCAGGCUUGUGAAGAGUUUGCAAGCGAGUAUAAAUUGAGCAAAUUCUGCCAUGAGGAGCUCUGCUACAUUGCACCUACGACUCAGAUCCUUACCACAGGGGGUGGUGAAUUCCAAUCCAGCUAUCAGUAUGUGGAUGUCAAGAAACAGCUGACAAGUCUCUUGGAAAAUGGCAGGCUGGAAAACUGCAAACGGGACAGAUUGGUCAAGCUUGUGCUCUACUUUGAUGAAUUUGGUGUGUGUAACCCUCUGCGGAAGAAAGCAUCUGAUUAUAGUCUGGGUGGUUGCUAUUUUGCGGUCGAUGAGGGCUUGUCAAUGUCGGUGCUGAGUGACAUUCAUCUCCUCCUACUAUGUCCUACAAAGCUCACCAAGCUUCAUGGUUUGAACACAGUCAUGAAGCCUGUGACAGAUUCCCUGUGUGACCUCUUGAACAAUGGCCUGGAUACUUGUGGCACUCAUUUUGAUAUCAAAGUGGAGUUUGUGUGUGGUGACAACCUGGGAGUGCAUAAGAUGGCGGGCUUCCAGGAAUCAUUUUCGUCAGGGCAGCGACCAUGCCGAACAUGCCACGCCACAAAUGAGGACUUUGGUACAAAGCUCACAGAGCAAGAGCUGACCCUUCGUACUGAGGAGGAGUACCAAGAAGAGCUGAGCAUGUGUGAGAAUGGAAACAAUGAGGAAUCACGAAAAGCAUUUGGUAUCAAGUCAAAAUAUGUGUUUGAUGAGCUGAAAGACUUUAAGGUCACAGAGAUGUUUCCACCAGAUAUCGCGCACGAUCUGUUUGAAAGUGGCGUAGUCAAUCAUUCCUUGGCUCUGGUGCUAUCAUACCUGAUUUUUCAAAUCAAACUCUUCACAUUCGCCUCAGUUCAAAAGGCUAUGAAAUCCUUCUCAUAUGCGAGAGUCGACAAAGCGAACACUCCUCCCAUGCUUCAAGCAAAGGGGCGCAAAGUGCUCGUCAAAGGCACUUUCAGUCAGUGCUGGACUUUCCUCCGAGUUCUCCCUUUCAUGAUCGGUCCACUGGUCCCACCAGAUCAAAAGGCGUGGCUUCUUGUGACCGGUUUGCUUUCUCUUGUACAACUCAUUUGUGCUCCACGUAUGGACGGUGAAAUUCUUGUAAGAAUGCAACCUUCAGUAGAGCAGUGGCUGCGUGAGUUCUGUGGAAUGUUCCCGGACUUCAAAAUCAAGCCGAAGUUCCACUACUUAUUACAUUACCGGCACUGGGCAGCACAAAUUGGUUCCUUGAGGAAAGCUUGGACUAUGCUUUUUGAAGCCAAACACCAGCAGUUCAAGAUCUACGCAUCUCGAGCACACAACACCAAGAACAUUUGUAAAACCCUGGCAGUGCGACACCAAGAAGCGGUAGCUGCAUGCGAAGGAAAGCAAAAGAAGAUGAUGGGGAAGGAAUGCAAGCCAUGCCUAGUUACAGGUGCAUUCGGAUGGGAGGUGGAUGACCGAGCUACGUACACCAAGAUGGCAGUGCUUGCGGGACAGAAGUACUGCGUCGAUGAUGUGCUGAUCGUGAGAAACCCGGCUGCUUCAAGCUCAGAGAGCUGUGAUCUUCUUCGCGUAGCAUAUUUUCAGUUUGAUGCAGUAAACCAUGUCAAAAUCAUCGGUGACGUCUUGAGGGCGCUUUCGUUUGAUGAGCACUAUAUGGCAUACCGUGUGACUAAGGGCGAGAUGAUGAUGAUCCCUUCUGCUUGGAUUUUUGACCCCACUCCGCUGGCUACUUAUUCAGUGCAGACCGCAAAAUACGUGCCCCUCAGGUACCAGAUACCAGGUCUCCGAAUCACCUCUGAAAGCGGUCAACGAUGAAGGCGCUAGUAAACCAUCAAAGUGCUGCGAGCGUCUUCGAAUUCGAGUCUGUCCUGGACCUUGUUCAAAAGGUUCGAGCGUUCUUCGGUCUGCAGGGUGGCGAGUGGGAUCUGGAGAUCUAUGAUGACGACUGGUCCUCGUGGGUCCUGCUGAAUGAGGAAGAUGCGAUAACUGGUGUUCGGCCUCGCAUCAGGACCGUCAUGCGUGGCGAUCUGGUUGUUCUUGAAAGCACUGGGACGACA